GACGAACGCUGGCGGCGUGCUUAACACAUGCAAGUCGAACGGAAAGGCCCUGCUUUUGUGUGGUGCUCGAGUGGCGAACGGGUGAGUAACACGUGAGUAACCUGCCCUUGACUUUGGGAUAACUUCAGGAAACUGGGGCUAAUACCGGAUAGGAGCUCCUGCUGCAUGGUGGGGGUUGGAAAGUUUGGGCGGUUGGGGAUGGACUCGCGGCUUAUCAGCUUGUUGGUGGGGUAGUGGCUUACCAAGGCUUUGACGGGUAGCCGGCCUGAGAGGGUGACCGGCCACAUUGGGACUGAGAUACGGCCCAGACUCCUACGGGAGGCAGCAGUGGGGAAUAUUGCACAAUGGGCGGAAGCCUGAUGCAGCAACGCCGCGUGCGGGAUGACGGCCUUCGUGUUGUAAACCGCUUUCGCCUGUGACGAAGCGUUAGUGACGGUAAUGGGUAAAGAAGCACCGGCUAACUACGUG
Molecule: ribosomal RNA, 468 nt
Filed under: uncultured bacterium
Lineage: Bacteria
Description: partial 16S ribosomal RNA
Rfam family: Bacterial small subunit ribosomal RNA
Source: RNAcentral